UACGUAGGGGGCAAGCGUUGUCCGGAUUAUUGGGCGUAAAGAGCGUGUAGGCGCCACACAGGUCUGCUGUGAAACUCGAGGCUCAACCUCGAGCUGUCGGUGGAAACCGUGUGGCUAGAGUCCGGAAGAGGAGAGUGGAAUCCCGGUGUAGCGGUGAAAUGCGCAGAUAUCGGGAAGAACACCCGUGCGAGGCGGCUAGCUCGUGGGACGGUACUGGACGG
RNAcentral lists this ribosomal RNA (221 nucleotides) under uncultured bacterium. Its description in RNAcentral is "partial 16S ribosomal RNA". It matches the Rfam family "Bacterial small subunit ribosomal RNA", at positions 524 to 749 of the family's 1533-position model. The record is from RNAcentral.